GUGUGUGGAAGCCUUGGCCAACAGCAGGCCCAGGAUGAGGCUUGGUGAUGAGAGCGUUUGCCCAGCAUGUGGGGUCCUAGGCUUGACCCAAAACAGACCAUCAGAGCAACCAUCAAGGGUGACCUCGCAUUGUACCUACAAACACCAACCAAGACGCACCAAGACCCCUCCUCCCGCCGGCUUCACUGCUGGGCAGUGACCAAAAUACACACCCAGAGCAGCUGCAAGGCGGGCCACGGGCCUGCCUCUCUCCUGUUGGAACAAGUCCCCUUUCAAUUAAAAGUAAUAAAUCUCUUCUUGUUUAAGUGGCAGAUGGUUAAGAGUGUUACUUUUGCUUCCAGCAAGCCUCUAAAAACUUUUGAAAAGGAAACUACAGGAUUCAAGAGAGAAGAGAGCAAAUAUUAAGGCCAAGAAAGAACUCUUACAGCAGCCAUGCAGAAGUUUUGGCUUGUGUUCUUCAUGUCAAGGCCGUCACGAAGCCUCUCCUAUCAUAGAGUCACAGUCUAGCAAUCUAGACUCAUCCUCAAAGGUGGAAUGGCGCUAGGCAAGGUGGCACAUGCCUAUAAUUCCAGCUACUCAAGAGGCUGAGGCAGGAAGAUCUGGAGUUCAAGGCCAGCCCUAGCAAUUCAG
RNAcentral lists this long non-coding RNA (630 nucleotides) under Fukomys damarensis (Damara mole-rat). Its description in RNAcentral is "lncRNA (ENSFDAG00000028514.1)". The record is from RNAcentral. Lineage: Eukaryota; Metazoa; Chordata; Mammalia; Rodentia; Bathyergidae.